UACGAAGGGGGCUAGCGUUGUUCGGAGUUACUGGGCGUAAAGGGCGCGUAGGCGGCCUUCCAAGUCGGGUGUGAAAGCCCACGGCUCAACCGUGGAAUUGCACUCGAGACUGAAGGGCUCGAGGACGGGAGAGGAUGGUGGAAUUCCCAGUGUAGAGGUGAAAUUCGUAGAUAUUCGCAAGAACACCAGUGGCGAAGGCGGCUCACUGGCCCGGUACUGACGCUGAGGUGCGAAAGCGUGGGGAGCAAACAGG
This 253-nucleotide ribosomal RNA is filed under the name uncultured bacterium. RNAcentral describes it as "partial 16S ribosomal RNA". It matches the Rfam family "Bacterial small subunit ribosomal RNA", at positions 524 to 776 of the family's 1533-position model. The record is from RNAcentral.